GUCUACAGUAUAUCUCAAUGGGUUUGGUCCAGGUCUAUAUCUCAAUGGGUUUGGUCCAGGUCUAUAUCUCAAUGGGUUUGGUCCAGGUCUACAGUAUAUCUCAAUGGGUUUGGUCCAGGUCUACAGUAUAUCUCAAUGGGUUUGGUCCAGGUCUACAGUAUAUCUCAAUGGGUUUGGUCCAGGUCUAUAGUAUAUCUCAAUGGGUUUGGUCCAAGUCUAUAUCUCAAUGGGUUUGGUCCAGGUCUACAGUAUAUCUCAAUGGGUUUGGUCCAGGUCUAUAGUAUAUCUCAAUGGGUUUGGUCCAGGUCUAUAUCUCAAUGGGUUUGGUCCAGGUCUACAGUAUAUCUCAAUGGGUUUGGUCCAGGUCUACAGUAUAUCUCAAUGGGUUUUGG
Long non-coding RNA from Oncorhynchus tshawytscha (Chinook salmon), 392 nucleotides. The record is from Ensembl. Lineage: Eukaryota; Metazoa; Chordata; Actinopteri; Salmoniformes; Salmonidae.